RNAcentral lists this long non-coding RNA (1343 nucleotides) under Mus musculus (house mouse). RNAcentral describes it as "long non-coding RNA chr5:3559703-3561046". The record is from RNAcentral. Lineage: Eukaryota; Metazoa; Chordata; Mammalia; Rodentia; Muridae.
GCUGCACUGGGCUGCUGAGAGCGGAAACGUGCCCGCUUUCUGUCUGCUCUUCUGUCUAGCAUCACUUGAGUUCGAAGGAGCACAUUUGAUUUGAGUUUUGGUUUUUUUGAGACAGGGUUUUUUCCUGUAAUAGACCUAGAUCAGGAUGGCCUCAAACUCACCGAGACCCCCCCACUUCCACUGCGUCCCGAGUGCUGGGAUUAACGGGGUGCCCCACCGCGCCCAGCGACAUUUGACUUUUGUACUUUGAGGUUCUGCACCAGUUGACUGGUGUAUUUAAUACUGAACAUGUAGCAUCUUUGUAUCUGCAGGUACCUUCUUCAUAUGCAUGUUUCUAUGUUCCCAAGUCUCCAUGAUAGUGUUUCAAAAUAAUAUUUAUAAUCCUAGGCAAAACAAAACAAAACAAAAAGCACAUUGGAAGUUGAGCUAAUUACUUUUUGAUGCCUAGCCCAGUAUGCUUUCUUUUUUUUUUUUUUUUACGUAAAUUUUUCUGUACUAAGAGUCUUUUUAAAAAGUGUGAAGUGGUUUAUAAAAAUGUUGAUUCCAGUUGCCAGGUCUGUAUUGAGUGGUAGACAGCGUGCAGUACCUGCACCUUCUUUAGUUACACUUGUUUAUUCCUGUUGAGAAAUGUGAUAGCUUGCCUGGUAUUCAUGAAAGAGACCCUGGGUUCAGUCCUCAAUACCAAAUGAGAGAGGAAGGACACCCAUGGAACACUGGGGCCUCAGGAAACUAAAGGUCCUAUUGUGGUUUGUGAAAGAGCUUCACUCACCCCAGGAAGAUUUCUUGUGUAGAAAGUCCUCAGAGACUGUUGGUUAUCUCCUAUGUCUUUAAGGCAGCAGUCCAAUGAUGGUGAUAGCUAGUGUAGUGUUCAUGAAAAGCCUGCUGUGUGGUAGGACCUGUGUAGACCUGUGAGGGUUAAUGUAUGUAAUCCUUUCAGCCCGUGGAUGAGGAUAGAGGUUAAUCACUAGACCUAAAGGAGUUGCAGAAUUCCUGAUAAGGACGGUAGGCCAGUCAGAUUGGUGGAUGGCAGAAAGCCACAUGGAUUAUAGACCUCCAGUGCACGAGGCCACCAGAGACAAAAGGCAGUGGCGUAAAGCCCUAAAGUAAACACAUGGGUAUUGUUUUAGGGGAACAUAGGUCUUAUUCAGUGACAUAAGAGAAAAGGCCUGUUGUCUUAUGUGCAGAUAUGCAUAAAAUAGGUUGAUCUUUUAUUUUCAGAAUAAAGUGCUGAUACUGAAGUAAAUUUUUAUUAGUCAGGAGUCAAAUAAUUUUUGGAAGGGCUAUACUUACUUAAACUGUAUUUUCUACAUUUAAAAGUUAUUUUUAUUUGUUUAGGAUGGUUC